AAUAAGUGUAGUUUUGCACUAUUCACGUUUAACGUUUGACCGUUCGUCUUAUUUGAAUUUUUUUAUGAUUAGUAUUUUUAUUGCUAUUAGAUGAUAAAACAUGAGCAAUACUUUAUGUGUGACUAAAUAUUUUUAAAUUUUUCAAAUAAGACAGACGGUCAAACGUUGGGCACGGAUAUCCAUGGCUGCACUUAUU
Molecule: non-coding RNA, 196 nt
Organism: Oryza glumipatula
Lineage: Eukaryota; Viridiplantae; Streptophyta; Magnoliopsida; Poales; Poaceae
Source: Rfam